GUCAACGGCCAUACCACGUUGAAAUCACCGGUUCUCGUCCGAUCACCGAAGUUAAACAACGUCGGGCGUAGUUAGUACUUAAAUGGGAGACCGCUUGGGAACUCUGCGUGCUGUUGACU
RNAcentral lists this ribosomal RNA (119 nucleotides) under Bemisia tabaci. The record is from RNAcentral. Lineage: Eukaryota; Metazoa; Arthropoda; Insecta; Hemiptera; Aleyrodidae.